CCUACGGGUGGCAGCAGUGAGGAAUAUUGGUCAAUGGACGGAAGUCUGAACCAGCCAUGCCGCGUGCAGGAAGACGGCUCUAUGAGUUGUAAACUGCUUUUGUACAAGGGUAAACCUGAAUACGUGUAUUCAGCUGACAGUACUGUACGAAUAAGGAUAGGCAAACUCCGCUCCAGCAGCCGCGGUAAUACGGAGGAUACAAGCGUUAUCCGGAUUUAUUGGGUUGAAAGGGUGCGUAGGCGGAUUGAUAAGUUAGAGGUGAAAUGACCGCGCUUAACUCGGGAACUGCCUGUAAUACUGUUAGUCUAGAGUGUAGAUGCGGUAGGCGGAAUGUAUGGUGUAGCGGUGAAAUGCGUAGAGAUCAUACAGAACACCGGUUGCGAAGGCAGCUUUCCAAUCUAUAUCUGACGUUGAGGCUCGAAAGCGUGGGGAGCAAACAGGAUUAGAUACCCGAGUAGUC
Molecule: ribosomal RNA, 460 nt
Filed under: uncultured bacterium
Lineage: Bacteria
Description: partial 16S ribosomal RNA
Rfam family: Bacterial small subunit ribosomal RNA
Source: RNAcentral